UUCCNGGAGAGCCUCCCUUGGCUGACAUGG
This 30-nucleotide non-coding RNA is filed under the name Homo sapiens (human). Lineage: Eukaryota; Metazoa; Chordata; Mammalia; Primates; Hominidae. The record is from RNAcentral.